UAGGGAAUCUUCGGCAAUGGGGGGAACCCUGACCGAGCAACGCCGCGUGAGUGAAGAAGGUUUUCGGAUCGUAAAGCUCUGUUGUUAAGGAAGAACGAGUGUGAGAAUGGAAAGUUCAUGCUGUGACGGUACUUAACCAGAAAGGGACGGCUAACUACGUGCCAGCAGCCGCGGUAAUACGUAGGUCCCGAGCGUUGUCCGGAUUUAUUGGGCGUAAAGCGAGCGCAGGCGGUUAGAAAAGUCUGAAGUGAAAGGCAGUGGCUCAACCAUUGUAGGCUUUGGAAACUGUUUAGCUUGAGUGCAGAAGGGGAGAGUGGAAUUCCAUGUGUAGCGGUGAAAUGCGUAUAUAUAUGGAGGAACACCGGUGGCGAAAGCGGCUCUCUGGUCUGUAACUGACGCUGAGGCUCGAAAGCGUGGGGAGCGAACAGG
This 429-nucleotide ribosomal RNA is filed under the name Verrucomicrobiota bacterium. RNAcentral describes it as "Verrucomicrobia bacterium partial 16S ribosomal RNA". It matches the Rfam family "Bacterial small subunit ribosomal RNA", at positions 355 to 776 of the family's 1533-position model. The record is from RNAcentral. Lineage: Bacteria; Pseudomonadati; Verrucomicrobiota.